UGCGGUUAUACAAAAGUUAAAUUAAAUUUUUUUAGGAUUUAAUAAAUAAAUAUUUUUAAUAAUUUUAAAUAUUAAAUUAUAAGGUAAAAUUUUAAUUUAAUUAAAUUUUAUUUAUUUUUAUAACAUUAAUAAAUUUUAUAAAAAACUAGGAUUAGAUACCCUAUUAUAAAAAUUUAAAUUUAAUAAUCUUAAAAUAGUAUAUAAUUUUUUAUAGAAACUUAAAUAAUUUGGCGGUAUUUUAGUUCAUUUAGAGGAAUCUGUCUAAUAAUUGAUAAUCCACGAUUAAAUUUACUUAAUUUUUAAUUUUGUAUAUCGUUGUUAAAAAAAUAUUUUUAAAUAAAUAUAAUAUUUUAAAAUUUAUAAAAAAAAAUUAAAUCAGAUCAAGAUGCAGAUUAUAAUUAAGAAUAUGAUGGAUUACAAUAAAUUUUAUUUUAUUUGGAUAUUAAUUUGAAAUAAAUUAAUUGAAAUUGGAUUUAAAUGUAAUUUUAUUAAUUUUGUUAAAAUGAUUUAAAAUUAAAAUAUGUACAUAUUGCCCGUCGCUUUCAUUAAUAAAUUGAAAUAAGUCGUAACAAAGUAGAGGUACUGGAAAGUGUCUCUAGAAAGAU
Molecule: ribosomal RNA, 605 nt
Filed under: Zygaena excelsa rosei
Lineage: Eukaryota; Metazoa; Arthropoda; Insecta; Lepidoptera; Zygaenidae
Description: partial 12S ribosomal RNA
Source: RNAcentral